CACAUGUUUAUUUUAAAAUGAACAAAAAAGCAGAUCAAAAAUUUCAUUAGAGUUUAGGGGCUGCACAGGUUUGGAAAACAAGGGUAAAUAGUAGGAGGGAGCACGAGAGACCGAGUAAGGUAGGGAGGAGGCAGGGGGGUUGAGUUGGGGUGUAGGGACAGGGGGUAAAGGGCAAGAGUCGGAGGGAGUGAGAGGGAUGGGAACCAGGCAGAGGUUUGGGUUUAGAUCUUCAGUUGCUGUUUUAUCUUCCAUCUUCUCGUCACUUUUUCUCUCGAGGUUUCCUUCGAUGUCCUCUUCUGUCUCCUGCUUUUCCUCCUUUUCUUCCUGCUUUUUCUCGUCCUUUCUUGGUUUGUCCAUUCCCUCCUCUUCUCCCUCGUGGCUUUCCAGUUUUUCCUCAUGGGAAUUUGUUUCCAGGGUUUCUUCCUGGUGGUCAGCAUUGGGUGCAAGCUCCUAUGUAGACAGAGUAAAAUGUAUUUUACUGAACUGUGACUCAGUCUGACAGAAGUUGUUAGGACCAAACAUGACAUUAUGGUAAAGUGAAGUGAUAGCGGAGACAGCUCACCUGAAGGACGUUCUUCCAUGUGUCCAGAUUUUCCUGUAAUUUCUCAAACAGAAGCUUGUUCUUAAUUUGGAGCUCCUCCACUUUUUUUUCUCCUCUUUCAGACUCUUCUCGGUUGAUUGCCACUUGCUGCUCCAGUGUUGUUCCCUGGUGUUUAUCUCCAUGUCUUUUAUCGUCGAUUCAUGGAGGAGUUCUACCCAGGCUUUGGUUCGAGCUCUUCUUUUCUUCACACACCUUUGAAGCGCCUCAUCCUUGAGUUUGAGCUCUUCUUGGAGGCUACUCACUUCCAUUUUGUGAGCAUCUUCAAGGACGGCAAUCUUCUUCUUUAACGAUGCAUUUUCCUCCUUUGCAGUCUUCAACUCCUGAGUGGCAAAAUGGAGUGCAUCUUUUAAUUCUUGCACCGUUUCACUUUCAGCAAUCCUGUUAGCUUCCUGCUGCUGUUUCAUAUCAGCAGCGCUAGUCUGCACUGCCCAAGAUGCCUGAAUGAUAAAAACAUGCACAGAGU
Long non-coding RNA from Oreochromis aureus, 1064 nucleotides. The record is from Ensembl. NCBI's taxonomy places the organism in Eukaryota, Metazoa, Chordata, Actinopteri, Cichliformes, Cichlidae.